Molecule: ribosomal RNA, 440 nt
Filed under: uncultured bacterium
Lineage: Bacteria
Description: partial 16S ribosomal RNA
Rfam family: Bacterial small subunit ribosomal RNA
Source: RNAcentral
CCUACGGGUGGCAGCAGUGGGGAAUAUUGCACAAUGGGGGGAACCCUGAUGCAGCGACGCCGCGUGAGUGAAGAAGUAUUUCGGUAUGUAAAGCUCUAUCAGCAGGGAAGAAGAUGACGGUACCUGACUAAGAAGCCCCGGCUAACUACGUGCCAGCAGCCGCGGUAAUACGUAGGUGGCAAGCGUUGUUCGGAAUAACUGGGCGUAAAGGAUGCGUAGGCGGUUAAACAAGUUAUAUGUUAAAUAUAGAGGCUUAACCUGUAGAAAGCAUAUAAAACUGUUUAACUAGAGUGCAGGAGAGGUAAGUGGAAUUCCUAGUGUAGCGGUGAAAUGCGUAGAGAUUAGGAAGAACACCAGUGGCGAAGGCGACUUACUGGACUGUAACUGACGCUGAGGCAUGAGAGCAUGGGGAGCAAACAGGAUUAGAUACCCGUGUAGUC